CACCUGUUCCCAUGCCGAACACAGAAGUUAAGCUCCUUAGCGCCGAUGGUAGUCGGACUGACGUUCCGCUAGAGUAGGACGUUGCCAGGC
Molecule: ribosomal RNA, 90 nt
Filed under: Staphylococcus epidermidis
Lineage: Bacteria; Bacillati; Bacillota; Bacilli; Caryophanales; Staphylococcaceae
Source: RNAcentral